RNAcentral lists this ribosomal RNA (421 nucleotides) under uncultured bacterium. RNAcentral's name for it is "bacterial SSU rRNA". It matches the Rfam family "Bacterial small subunit ribosomal RNA", at positions 358 to 796 of the family's 1533-position model. The record is from RNAcentral.
GGAAUAUUGGACAAUGGGGGAAACCCUGAUCCAGCAAUGCCGCGUGAGUGAAGAAGGCCUUAGGGUUGUAAAACUCUUUCACUGAUGAAGAUGAUGACGGUAAUCAGAGAAGAAGCCCCGGCUAACUCCGUGCCAGCAGCCGCGGUAAUACGGAGGGGGCUAGCGUUGUUCGGAUUUACUGGGCGUAAAGCGCACGUAGGCGGCAUAUCAAGUCAGAGGUGAAAGGCCUGGGCUCAACCUAGGAACGGCCUUUGAUACUGGUAUGCUUGAGUUCGGAAGAGGGUAGUGGAAUUCCAAGUGUAGAGGUGAAAUUCGUAGAUAUUUGGAAGAACACCGGUGGCGAAGGCGGCUACCUGGUCCGAUACUGACGCUGAGGUGCGAAAGCGUGGGGAGCGAACAGGAUUAGAUACCCCUGUAGUCC